Molecule: transfer RNA, 90 nt
Filed under: Alphaproteobacteria bacterium
Lineage: Bacteria; Pseudomonadati; Pseudomonadota; Alphaproteobacteria
Description: tRNA-Ser
Source: RNAcentral
GGGCGGCACAAGCGGAAGGGCGUACCGCGGCGGGUUGCUAACCCGAACGUGCCUCAUGGGUAUCUGGUUCGAAUCCAGGGCCGCCCGCCA